Molecule: ribosomal RNA, 990 nt
Filed under: Ampithoe lacertosa
Lineage: Eukaryota; Metazoa; Arthropoda; Malacostraca; Amphipoda; Ampithoidae
Description: 16S ribosomal RNA
Rfam family: Eukaryotic large subunit ribosomal RNA (bases 773-931)
Source: RNAcentral
UAUUGGAUUGUAAAAGUUAAAAACAUAAUAAAGUAAUUUAUUAUUUUACCUUUUGUAUCAGGGUUUAUUAAUUUUUAAAUUAUUUAAAAUAUCGAUUUGAAAAGAUUUAUAAUUUUUAUGGGUUUUUGUGUUAUCAAAUAAAUAAAAAAUUAUGGAAGUGAGACUCUUUCGAUUUUUAAGUUAUCUAAUUUAUAAAAGAGGUAAAAAUAUAGAAUAACUAUAUUUUUGUUUUCUUUAAAAAACUUUUAGUUUCUAGGCUUUGAAUUGGCUAUGAUUGAAUUUUGUUAUAAAUUUAUAUGAAAUAAUUUUGUUAAAAAUUUUAUAUGUAUAUUUAUUAAUAUUUUUUAUUAAUAAUAAUGAAAUUAGUAUAUAUUUAUAUUUAAAUAAAUUACUCAUGUUUUAUAUGAAUGUUUAACAAAAACAUUUUUUUUUUUAUAAAAAAUAUAAUCUGCCCGGUGUAAUAUAAACGGCUGCGGUAUCUUGACUGUGCUAAGGUAGCAUAAUAAUUUGUUUUUUAAUUGGAUACUGGUAUGAAUGAUUUUACAUUUAAAACUUUUUUUAUUUAAAAUUUUAAAAUUUAGAGUUUAAGUUAAAAUACUUAAAUACAUAAAAAAGACGAUAAGACCCUAAAAGCUUUAUUUUUAUUUAAAUUUUAAAUAAUUUUAAUUUUAAAGUAAAAUUUUUACUGGGGUAGUAUUUUAAUUAAUUUUUUAUAAAUAACCUUAUGAUAUAUAAUUCCUUAAUAUUAGGAUAUUAAAUUAGUUACUUUAGGGAUAACAGCGUAAUAACUCCGAAAAGAACAUAUUUAUGGCGUUGAUUACGACCUCGAUGUUGAAUUAAUAAAUCUUUUUAAAGCAGAUUUUAAAUAAGAAGGUUUGUUCAACCUUUAAUUUAUUACAUGAUUUGAGUUCAAACCGGUUUAAGCCAGGUUGGUUUCUAUCUUUUUAUAAAAAUAAAAUAUUUUAGUACGAAAGGACCAAUUAUUUUUUU